Molecule: ribosomal RNA, 440 nt
Filed under: uncultured bacterium
Lineage: Bacteria
Description: partial 16S ribosomal RNA
Rfam family: Bacterial small subunit ribosomal RNA
Source: RNAcentral
ACUACGGGAGGCAGCAGUGGGGAAUAUUGCACAAUGGGGGAAACCCUGAUGCAGCAACGCCGCGUGAGUGAAGAAGUAUUUCGGUAUGUAAAGCUCUAUCAGCAGGGAAGAAGAUGACGGUACCUGAGUAAGAAGCCCCGGCUAACUACGUGCCAGCAGCCGCGGUAAUACGUAGGGGGCAAGCGUUAUCCGGAUUUACUGGGUGUAAAGGGAGCGUAGACGGUGAGACAAGUCUGAAGUGAAAGCCCGGGGCUCAACCCCGGGACUGCUUUGGAAACUGCCUGACUGGAGUGCGGGAGAGGCAAGCGGAAUUCCUAGUGUAGCGGUGAAAUGCGUAGAUAUUAGGAAAAACACCAGUGGCGAAGGCGGCUUGCUGGACAGUAACUGACGUUGAGGCUCGAAAGCGUGGGGAGCAAACAGGAUUAGAUACCCGGGUAGUC